RNAcentral lists this ribosomal RNA (478 nucleotides) under uncultured soil bacterium. RNAcentral describes it as "bacterial SSU rRNA". It matches the Rfam family "Bacterial small subunit ribosomal RNA", at positions 26 to 518 of the family's 1533-position model. The record is from RNAcentral.
AGAAUCAACGCUGGCGGCGUGCCUCAGACAUGCAAGUCGAACGAUUAAAGCUCCCUUCGGGGAGUGCAUAAAGUGGCGCACGGGUGAGUAACACGUAAGUAAUCUACCCUCGGGUGGGGAAUAACGUUCGGAAACGGACGCUAAUACCGCAUAAUGCAGCGGCACCGCAAGGUGACAGUUGUUAAAGAUUUAUUGCCUGGGGAGGAGCUUGCGGCAGAUUAGCUUGUUGGUAAGGUAACGGCUUACCAAGGCUACGAUCUGUAUCCGGUCUAAGAGGACGGUCGGACACACUGACACUGAAUAACGGGUCAGACUCCUACGGGAGGCAGCAGUCGGGAAUUUGGGCAAUGGGGGAAACCCUGACCCAGCAACGCCGCGUGAAGGAUGAAGUAUUUCGGUAUGUAAACUUCGAAAAGAAUAGGAAGAAUUAAUGACGGUACUAUUUAUAAGGUCCGGCUAACUACGUGCCAGCAGCCGC